GACGAACGCUGGCGGCGUGCUUAACACAUGCAAGUCGAACGGAAAGGCCCUGCUUUUGUGGGGUGCUCGAGUGGCGAACGGGUGAGUAACACGUGAGUAACCUGCCCUUGACUUUGGGAUAACUUCAGGAAACUGGGGCUAAUACCGGAUAGGAGCUCCUGCCGCAUGGUGGGGGUUGGAAAGUUUCGGUGGUUGGGGAUGGACUCGCGGCUUAUCAGCUUGUUGGUGGGGUAGUGGCUUACCAAGGCUUUGACGGGUAGCCGGCCUGAGAGGGUGACCGGCCACAUUGGGACUGAGAUACGGCCCAGACUCCUACGGGAGGCAGCAGUGGGGAAUAUUGCACAAUGGGCGGAAGCCUGAUGCAGCAACGCCGCGUGCGGUAUGACGGCCUUCUGGUUGUAAACCGCUUUCGCCUGUGACGAAGCGUUAGUGACGGUAAUGGGUAAAGAAGCACCGGCUAACUACGUG
This 468-nucleotide ribosomal RNA is filed under the name uncultured bacterium. Its description in RNAcentral is "partial 16S ribosomal RNA". It matches the Rfam family "Bacterial small subunit ribosomal RNA", at positions 28 to 507 of the family's 1533-position model. The record is from RNAcentral.